RNAcentral lists this ribosomal RNA (659 nucleotides) under uncultured bacterium. Its description in RNAcentral is "bacterial SSU rRNA". It matches the Rfam family "Bacterial small subunit ribosomal RNA", at positions 440 to 1103 of the family's 1533-position model. The record is from RNAcentral.
AGGGCGAGGGUUAAUAGCCCCUAGCCUGACGGUACCCUUCGAGGAAGCCCCGGCUAACUACGUGCCAGCAGCCGCGGUAAUACGUAGGGGGCGAGCGUUGUCCGGAAUUAUUGGGCGUAAAGAGCGUGUAGGCGGUUCGGUAAGUCUGCUGUGAAAUCCUGGGGCUCAACCCCGGGCGUGCAGCGGAUACUGCCGGGCUAGAGGAUGGUAGAGGCGAGUGGAAUUCCCGGUGUAGCGGUGAAAUGCGCAGAUAUCGGGAGGAACACCAGUAGCGAAGGCGGCUCGCUGGGCCAUUCCUGACGCUGAGACGCGAAAGCUAGGGGAGCGAACAGGAUUAGAUACCCUGGCAGUCCUAGCCGUAAACGAUGAACACUAGGUGUGGGGGGAGUCGAAUCCCUCCGUGCCGCAGCCAACGCGAUAAGUGUUCCGCCUGGGGAGUACGGCCGCAAGGCUAAAACUCAAAAGAAUUGACGGGGGCCCGCACAAGCAGCGGAGCAUGUUCUUUAAUUCGAUGCAACGCGAAGAACCUUACCUGGGCUUGACAUGGUGCUGCAAGCGCACGGAAACGUGUGACCUUCGAGGGUGCACCACAGAUGCUGCAUGGCUGUCGUCAGCUCGUGUCGUGAGAUGUUGGGUUAAGUCCCGCAACGAGCGCAACC